RNAcentral lists this ribosomal RNA (253 nucleotides) under uncultured bacterium. Its description in RNAcentral is "partial 16S ribosomal RNA". It matches the Rfam family "Bacterial small subunit ribosomal RNA", at positions 524 to 776 of the family's 1533-position model. The record is from RNAcentral.
UACAGAGGGUGCGAGCGUUGUUCGGAAUUAUUGGGCGUAAAGGGUGCGUAGGCGGCCUGAAAGGUCAGCUGUGAAAACUCGAGGCUCAACCUCGAGACGUCGGUUGAAACCAUCUGGCUAGAGUCCGGAAGAGGAGUGUGGAAUUCCCGGUGUAGCGGUGGAAUGCGCAGAUAUCAGGAGGAACACCAAUGGCGAAGGCAGCUCGCUGGGACGGUACUGACGCUGAGACGCGAAAGCGUGGGGAGCAAACAGG